UUGAAUAUUUUCAUAAUAAUUAAAAAAAUAUCGAAAUAUUUAAUAAUAUCAUUUUUAAUUUAACAAUAUCAGAAAUAUUAAAAUAUUUACUACUAUAGAUUAAAAAAAUUGUAAUUAAAUAAUAUUUGUCAGUUGAGCACACUGGAUACACUCUGCACCUGCAAUGGUUGAAUGGAAUCUCUCUCUAGUGUGAACAAAAGGGAAGUAAUUAGUAUGAAGUUUAUUUUUAGAUAAAUUGAUUAAUUAAUUAAUAGAGGGCUGAGAUACAUGUGAAACUCUAUAUGUGUCACUAUUCUAUUGACUAAUUAACCAACUUACUGGAUCCGAGCAAUAGCUUAGCUCAGAGAGAAAAGAGCUUAAAAAAGACCCAUCACUUCGAUUCAAUCAUCAACAAAAAAAACCCAGAAACAUGAGAAAAAAAAGAAAAAGAAAAAAGAGUAUCAACAAAAGUGACAUUACUAAUUCAUGUUGUAUUAAUUAAUUACUUUCUCCUUCCUCAAUCCUAUAAUCUUCAAUUACAGUAAAAUUAAAAACCCUUUUCUCCUCCAAUGGAGAUUCAGACCCAAAAAAAUGGAAGAAAAGAAAAUAAUUAUAUAUACAUGAUUUGUUUUGUGUGUAGAUCUUGUGAUUCUCCUCCUCCUCGGAUGCUGGAAAAGCUUAGAACAGGGUUAAUGUAGGAAACCCAUUAACAAUCUCAUAGAAAGGAAGAGAAAUUCAAAACCCUUGAUGAUUUUUGUUCAAGAAUCAGAGUAAUCACGCCAGCAGAUGAGCAUGGUGACACAGCGCCUCAUGAUGUAAAAUCUAGCUCUCUGUUCCUUCACGAGGCUAGCACACUUUCUUGUAAAUGAGCAUCUUCUACUUUGAUGGGAUGAUUUUGUUGUUGAUGAUGAUGAACUUCUGCUCAUUAGAGAUGACGAAGUUGAAAAACUUCUAGAUGGGCCUUCUUUUUUGGACGACUUCCAUUUCUCAUCUAAAUACAACUGUGAUGGUUGUGAUGUAGCCAUUAGAGACUACUUAAAGAAAAUUUCUAAGUAAAUCUCUUUUUGGGACAACACAGAAAAGAGAGAGAAAACAAUGGAGUAACAAAGAUUGGUGGGGUGGGGUGGAGUGGAGUGGGGAAGAUGAUGAUGAGAGAGAUGGAUUACCAGGGAGGGGUACUAUUUAUAAGGGGGAAGAAAAUAAAAGGGGUAGCAGAUGCGUGUGGCAGGAUGGGUAUCUGAAUUCUCACCUGGGUCUUUUUUGCCUAGAGAGUCCCAUCUUUUUUAAUAUAUAAUUAUUUAUUUAAUUGAAUUUUGUUGUUUUA
This 1303-nucleotide long non-coding RNA is filed under the name Panax ginseng (ginseng). RNAcentral's name for it is "long non-coding RNA (PGIN_LNC010713)". The record is from RNAcentral. Lineage: Eukaryota; Viridiplantae; Streptophyta; Magnoliopsida; Apiales; Araliaceae.